RNAcentral lists this long non-coding RNA (11095 nucleotides) under Gossypium barbadense (sea-island cotton). RNAcentral describes it as "long non-coding RNA (GBAR_LNC018934)". The record is from RNAcentral. Lineage: Eukaryota; Viridiplantae; Streptophyta; Magnoliopsida; Malvales; Malvaceae.
UUAAGCCCACCAAGAGGUCUUUGGCAAGGUGAUAACACUAUCCGCACCACCACCUCAAACCUUACUUCUACUACUAAAUUUACACUCUUUAACGACAAUUACGAUAUAGCAAGUUCUAGACAUGUGUUGGGUGAAGAAACAAGGAAAACUGGUACAGCAAUCAUGAACCCCAACUUGUUUUUAGGGUUUUGGUUAUUCAAUUUAAUAGCAUUUGGGCUUCCAGUUCUUCUAACCGUUUUGUUUUUAUCCAAUGUACCUAGUAUUCUUCUCAUCCCGCUUUAUUAUCUAUCCGUCUCCUACUUCAACUGCAUGACAAUAAUAUCUCCUUCCUCGUUUUGGGCAAGCAUCAACUAUGUUAUCAUGUGGGCAGCCAUUGGUCUCCCGUUGCUCUUAGUUGUUAGAAGCGUAUGGUUAUGGAAGCAGCCAAAGUACAGGGAAAUCAGACAAUUACGCAGACUUUUCCGCAAGUAAAAUAAUGUUGGAACCAUUCAACGGUUGCGAAUGUCAAUGUUGUUUAUAUGUUCUCUUACGUUAUGUACUUUUUUCCAUUUUCGGUAAAAAAUUUAUGUAAUUGUUUUGGAUAAAUUUAAUAAAUAAGAUUACUUUUUCCAACAAUAUCUUUGUCCUUUGCAACAGAAAAAAAAAACAUAGAAAAACCAACCAUCCUAUUUUAUAAUUUAAAAGAAUAUUUUCCUUUUUGUAAAAAGAGAUAUUUUCGAAGUAUUGUUAAUUCAAAAUUAACAAAUUUUUUAAUAAAUCGAUAUUAUUCUCUAAAUAUUUUCUAAAAAAAAUACAAAUUCAUAAACAACAGCUAUAUUCUUUUUCGUUGUGAUUUCGGCAAUAUAAGGCCGAAUUAAAUUUGUAAAAAGGGGUUACGAAGAUUGUAUCAAGAAACGAUUAGAAGAAUAUAAAAAAAAACAACACAGAGAAAAAUAGCAAUUUGGAGAGGUGAUUUUCUCUUUGGGAUUUUCUUUUCAUUUUUUCCUUUUGAUUUACUGUUUUUUGCAUAAAACAAAUAGAAAAGAAAAGGAGGAACCAUACCUGGGAGGCGUGCUUGCGAAGCCCUUCCUUGUUCUGUGCAGGGUGCAGAAUGAAGGAGUAGAGGGCUUUUGGGAAGAAGCGGCGCACGCAGGAGAGGAAUAACCUAGGGGUUUUUUUUUUUUUUAAAACCUUUAAAUGGCUUUUAUGCAGCAUACAACACGGCACCGUUUGGAGCCUGAUCAGUGGUUUCAAAACGGUGCCGUAUAGGCCUGUACCCAUGCGCGACCCGAUCCGACCCUGAGAGGAUCCGCGCGUUUUGUAAAUGGUUUAUUUUCUCGUUUGAUCCUUCUUGUUUUUCAAAAUGUGUUUAAUUAUUUUUUUCUUUUUAAAUUCAAUCACAAGUUUUAUUUCUGUUCUAAUUUAAUCCCCUAUCUGUUAUUAGUUAUUUAUUAUUAAUUAUUUUUACUAUUAUUUUUAUUAUUGUAUAAUAUCAUUUUUAUGGUGUUAUUAUUACCAUUACAACCAUAUUUAUGCAUACAUUUUUUUUGAAAUAUACGUACAUUUUUUUUAUAAUUUAUAUAUGUACAUACGUUUUUUAUAUUACACAAUUUAUAUACGUAUCUUUAUAUAUAUUUAAAUACAUAUUACUUUAAUUUUCAUAAAUAUAUAUAUACAUUUACAUUUUAUAAUACAUAUACAUUUUCCAAACUUUAUAGUCCAUACGUAUAUACAUUCAUUUUCUAUAAUAUACAUAUACGUACAUUUUUUGAAAUUAUUAUAAAUAUUUUUUUUUGCAUAUUUCAUUUUUUAUAUACAUAUACUUAUAUAUACAUAUUUUAAUACAUGCAUAUACAUAUUUUCAUAGUUUACUUAUAUAUUAUACUUAUACAUUUUUUAUAUUUUGUAAAUAUAAGCCGACCGAGAGGUCUUUGGCAAGGUGAUAACACUAGUAACCCCACCACCACCUCAAACCUUACUACUACCACUAAAUUUAAACUCUUUAACGACAAUUACGCUGAAAAACUUUCUAAACAUGUGUUGGGUGAAGAAACAAUGAAACCUGGUACAGCAAUCAUGAAUCCCAACUUGUUUUUAGGGUUUUGGUUAUUCAAUUUUAUAGCAUUUGGGCUUCCGGUUCUUCUAACCGUUUUCCUUUUAUACGAUGUAGCUCGUAUUCUUCUUCUCCCGCUUUAUUUUCUAUCCGUCUCCUACUUUAACUGCAUGACAAUAAUAUCUCCGUCCAUGUUUUGGGCAAACCUCAACUUUGUUGUCAUGUGGACAGCCAUUAUUCUCCCGUCUGUCUUAGUUUUUGGAGGCGUAUGGUUAUGUAUGCUGCCAAAGCACCGGGAAAUCAGACAAAUACGCAGACGUGUCCGCAAUGACAAUAAUAUCGGAAUAAUUCAGUACUUGCGAAUGUCAGUCUAACUUAUAUAUUAUAUUUAUGUACCCUUUUCCAUUUUCUCUGUAUUAAUAUCUUUUCUUUUUGAAAAAAGAAAAAACACUAUGUAAUUGCUUUGGAUAAAUUUAAUAAAAACAGAUAUACCUAGAGAUGAUUUGUGGAGGAAGGCAAAUGGGAGAGAGAUCAGACAACAUACAUAGAAUAUGGAAAGAAGAUGUGUUGAAGGAAAUACGGGACCGCAUGUAGGGAAGAAUGCAAGUGAGAUUAUGGCAAAUAAUAAACAACAUGAAGAAAAUGACCCAAUCAAGUUGGACGAGAGGGUGGAAGAUUUAUGAAUUUCCAGAACAAAGUAGUAGAGGGAGCCAUUGAUGGAGAGAACUUGAAGUGGCUUGAAAAAUGUAUUGUGGGUAGAAUGAGAAACAAUGCUACUGUGGGGUUAUGGGGUGAUACUGGAAUUUAUAAAAUUGGAGUCAAAAGAUUAUCGGAUAAUGAUUUGUAUGAAUUGGAAGCCAAUGAAUGGGGAGAUGUUUUGUAAGUGUUCAGAAAGUUGAACGGUGGACCACAAAGAUGAAAGAUUAAGGUGGUUAUCCUGUUACGAGAUUCCAAUACAUGCUUGGUCUUCGAGGAGGAAGUAGUUAAACAACUUGCUGGCUUGCUGCUAUUGAAUAUUAUAAUUGGUUUGAUUUAUUAUUUUUGGUACAAACAAUCAAGACUCAAACAGUCAAUCGACUGUCGGAUAGAGCACGUGCAACCAACCUAACAUAUGAGAAUAUAUCCAGAAGAAGAAACUUAUCCAAGUCCAACCCCCCACAAGUUGCCAAUCGGCUCAUCCCAUUGACCUUUCCACACCUUCGAAUUGAUUGGUGCAAUGCGAGGUCCAAUAUUGGAAGGAGAAUGGAAUCUAAACCGUGGGACCACACUUAAGCCGGCGUCCUAAAUGACUAGAUGCGUGGAAGACGGUGGGUAUUCUUUCACCCAAUAACAUCACUACAUAUACACAAACCAUGUCUGCCCAUCUUGUGGGCUACUUGUGAUAAAACAGGAAAACAAUGAAAAAUAAUAAUAUAAAGAAGAGAAACAAAAUCCACACCUAAUAUAAUUUUUCCUAAAUACAAGAAAACAAGUUUUGGGAUAAAAAAUCAUAUCCAAGAUUAAAGGAUUCAAUUCAUUUAGACUUGAAUGUUAAUUGAAUGAUUAAACAUUCAAAUCUCGUUAAAUUCAUGAACAGCUUUUCAUUAGAUAGAAUAUUCUCUAUUUCUUAAAUUUAAUUCUUUUAUAUUAAGAUCUGUUUGAGACAUUAAAAAUUGGUUUAAUUUACCAAAAUAAUAAUAAUGAGGCCCAUGGUUUUGGAAUCUUUUCUAUGUCACAGCUAUGGCGAUGGGGUCAAGACACAACUGUCCUUUUUUGAGGUCAAAUAAAUUGAUUAAAAAUAUCCACCAAAAUGAUAAGAAUGUACAUAAUUCAUCUUAUUUUUAAACUGAUAUUCCUAAGUAUAUUAUAUAUUUUUAAUACUGAUAUUUCUUAAUAAAUUUGUUUCUAAAUUAAAUAUUUUUUUUCAAAAUCAUCUUAAAGUUUUUGAAACUUAUGUUUGUUUAAAUAUUAAAAUAAUUUUUAAUACACUGCUUGUGGAAAAAGUUUGACAAAAUAUAAUAAAAUAUCAAAAAAAAGACGCAUACCAAUACACAAAAUAUAUUAUCUAUUUUAUAACAUAUUAUUUAAAAUAAAUAUUUUAUUUUCUAAAAGUAAUUUUUUACCGCAAUACCAAAAAUAUAAAUUUUAGAGUAAAAUUUCUGAAAGCGAAGCUGGUCAACUUGCCUUGAAACAGAUGGCGAAAAUGAGUCCAAAUUAUAUCGGAGCGAGAAACAGGGAGUGGGAUUCAAGAUUUUGACGUACUGUAUAGGCGGCCACCGAUUUAUAUCCCUCGUCAUAUAUAGAUAUAUUAAUCAUUUUUUAAAAUUUUCGAUAUUUAUAUUCAAUAUAAAUCUACCCUUGACGGAUUAAUUAGUUUAGUGUAAGCUUGGUUUAAAUCAGUUGAGGUUGCAAAUAAGGAUAGUCAGUUUGCAACUCUCCUAAUAUUUUCAUCAUUUAAAGAAAGAAACAAAAGCAUGGAUCCAAGCUUGAGAGAAGUAGCUGGAACAGGAGAUACUGAUGCCUUGUACGCUCUAAUUCGAAAGGAUCCGUACAUGUUGGAGCAUAUUGAUCAGAUUCCUUUCAUCGAUACUCCACUUCACAUAGCAGCAAAUGAAGGUCAAAUUAAGUUUGCAAUGGAGAUGAUCAACUUGAAGCCUUCGUUUGGUCGGAAGCUAAACCAAGACGGGUUUAGCCUGUUAGAAAUCAAACCCACUCCAAGCAUAAUCUAGAAGCAUGAGACGUGGAGCAAUUUUGUGCUAUGCAAAGUGCUGAAAUUUUAGCCAUACAAAGUGCUCCAUUAUUGAGAUGUUUUGUGGCUGGAAAUUAAGUGGAUUAAUAGCCACAUUUGUUGUCACUUUAUCAGCCUAUAAAUAGAGGCUUGAACUUGUGUUGUAAUGAAGAAAAAUGAGAAGAAAAAAGAAAUAAGAGAAGCAACGUGAGUGAGAGUGAGAAGGUUAGCAAACCUUGAGUGAGUUAAAAUCUAGCAGCAGCUAGACUAUCUAGUCAUUGAGAAAAUAUUUGUAAUCUUCGUAUUGUAAUAUAUUGAGUGUGUAAUAAAAAGUAAAUUUUCGGCCCAUCACGUUUCCAACAAGUGGCAUCAGAGCUACGGUUCGGAGCUUGGUUCGGAGUUCGGUUCGUGUCCGGUUCGUGUCCAGUUCGGAGUACCUUUGGUGUUCAUCUAACAAGUCGAUAUGGGCGACGUAAUUCAGCUACAAGUUCCACAAUUGACGAAGACAAAUUAUGGAAAUUGGAGCAUUCGAAUGAAGGCUUUGCUCGGUUCGCAAGAUUGUUGGGAGAUCGUUGAAAAAGGAUACAUCGAGCCCGGAGAUGCCGCUACAGAAGCAGCUUUAUCAAAUGACGCUAAGAAGGCGUUACGAGAAGCACGAAAGAAGGAUCAAAAGGCCUUGAAUAGUAUCUUUCAAGGAAUGGAUGAAUCAACCUUCGAGAAAAUAUCAGAUGUGAAGAACGCGAAGAAUGCAUGGGAGAUUUUGCAAAAAUCAUUUCAAGGUGUAGAAAAAGCUAAAAAGGUACGCCUUCAGUCACUUAGAGCUGAAUUUGAAAUGUUAAAAAUGAAGAGCUCCGAGAAUAUCGAUGACUAUGCCAAUCGUGUAAAAUCGGUGGUAAAUGAAAUGAAACGAAAUGGAGAAACUCUUGACGAGGUAAGAGUGAUGGAGAAAAUUCUACGGUCACUCACACGCAAAUUCGAGUACGUAGUCGUUGCCAUCGAAGAAUCAAAAGAUUUGUCAAAGAUGUCGCUCGAAGAACUUGUGGGUUCUCUGCAAGCCCAUGAGCAAAAGAUGAAGCUAAAUGAAGAUAGUGAAAAUCUUGAUCAAGCCUUGCAUAGCAAGUUGUCCGUCGACGACGGAGAAACAAGUAAUAACUUUAACCAAGGAAGAGGAAACCGCAGAGGAUACCGUGGAGGCUACCGUGGUGGAAACAGAGGAGGAAGAGGAUCACGAGGACAUGGAAAUCAAUCAUAUGGGAGAUAUCAAGAAAAUAAAGAUUAUCAAACAUCCAACCGUGGACGUGGAUCUAGAGGUCGUGGCCGAGGCAGAUUUCAAGAAAAUAAAUCUCAGGUACAAUGCUACAACUGUAACAAGUAUGGACAUUUCAGUUACGAGUGCAGAUCAACACACAAAGUGGAUGAAAGAAACCAUGUAGCAGUCGCAGCAGAAGGCAACGAAAAAGUGGAAUCAAGUGUCUUUCUCACUUACGGAGAAAAUGAAGAUCGCAAGAGAAGUGUGUGGUAUCUCGACAACGGUGCAAGCAACCACAUGUGUGGAAGAAAGGAGCUGUUCACAGAAUUAGAUGAAACAGUUCAUGGACAAAUAACUUUUGGAGACAACUCACAUGCAGAAAUCAAAGGAAAGGGCAAGGUUGUUAUAACACAAAGGAAUGGAGAGAAGAAGUACAUCUCAGACGUUUACUACGUACCAGCUUUGAAGAGCAACCUGAUCAGUCUUGGUCAACUCCUAGAAAAAGGAUAUGAAGUUCAUAUGAAAGACCGCUCACUCGCCAUCAGGAACAAAAGUGGAGAAUUAGUUGUUCGAGUUGAUAUGACGCGAAAUCGUCUUUUCACCCUCGACAUCGAGUCUGGAGAAGUAAAAUGCAUGAAGACGGAUCUGAAGAAUGAAUCAUGGUUGUGGCACUUAAGGUACGGACAUCUCGGAUUUUCUGGCUUGAAGCUGUUGUCGAAGACAAAUAUGGUGAAUGGAUUACCAAGUAUUAAUCAUCCAGAUCAACUGUGUGAAGCCUGUGUCAAAGGAAAGCAGCAUAGGCAGAAAUUUGAAGUAGGAAAAUCUCGAAGAGCUAGAAGACCAUUGGAAAUUGUACACACCGACAUAUCUGGUCCGUACGACAUUGAAUCACUCGGUGGAAACAGGUACUACCUAACUUUUAUUGAUGAUUAUAGCAGAAAAUGUUGGGUUUAUUUUCUCAAAGCAAAAUCGGAAGCCCUAGAAAAAUUCAAGGAGUUCAAAGCAAUGGUGGAAAAACAGAGUGGUCGAUAUUUGAAGAUACUCAGAUCCGAUAGAGGAGGCGAGUAUACUGCAAAGCUUUAUGAAAGUUUCUGCAAGGAUCAUAGAAUCAUUCAUUAGUUAACAGUCAGACGCACUCCACAACAAAACGGAGUUGCAGAAAGGAAGAAUCGGACAAUUCUGGAUAUGCCAAGAAGCAUGAUAAAAGGUAAACACCUUCCGAGAACUUUCUGGGCUGAAGCCGUUGAAUGCGCAGUUUAUCUGUUGAAUCAAUGUCCAACAAAAAGUGUAAGACACAAGACACCAGAAGAAGCAUGGAGCGGUCACAAGCCAAGAGUUGGACACCUCAAAAUUUUUGGAUGCAUUGCAUAUGCACACGUUCCUGAGCAACAGAGGAAAAAGCUUGACGAUAGAGGAGAGAAGUGUAUCUUUAUAGGCUAUGACAAAAGAAGUAAGGCCUACAGACUUUAUAAUCCUCUUACUAAGAAAUUGAUUAUCUCAAGAGAUGUCGAGUUCGAUGAAGCGGAUUACUGGAGAUGGAGUGAAGAAGAAAAGAAAGUGGAAGGAUUAUUUUUCAACGAAGACGACAAUAACCAAGAAGAACAAGGCGAUGAUCAAAGUCCUGGUACAACAGCCCCUUCGUCACCAACCAGCAGCAGCGGAAGCAGCAGCUCAGAUGAAGCACCCACAAGAACACGGAGUCUCAACGACAUCUACAAUUCUAUGGAACCUGUAGAGACGCAGUUCGAUUAUUCACUAUUCUGUCUAAUGACAGAAUGUGAUCCAGUGACGUACGAAGAAGCAAUUGAAAACAAUAAAUGGAAGAAGGCCAUGGACGAGGAGAUUGCUGCAAUAAGAAGGAAUGACACGUGGGAGCUAACAAGUCUGCCAGAAGGACAUAGCCCGAUUGGUGUCAAGUGGGUGUACAAGACGAAGACCAACAAAGAAGGAAAAGUAGAGAAAUACAAGGCAAGAGUAGUCGCCAAAGGCUACAAGCAAAGACAAGGAGUGGACUAUGAUGAAAUAUUUGCUCCAGUCGCAAGAAUAGACACAAUUAGGCUUCUCAUAGCGGUCGCAGCACAAUACAAAUGGAAAAUCUAUCAGAUGGACGUCAAGUCUGCAUUCCUGAAUGGCUACUUGGAGGAGGAAGUCUACAUAGAACAACCACCUGGAUAUAGCAUACAAGGAAAGGAGGACAAAGUCUACCGAUUGAAGAAAGCUUUGUAUGGAUUGAAGCAAGCCCCAAGAGCAUGGAACACAAGGAUCGACGAGUACUUCCGAAGAAAUGGAUUCAUCAAAAGCCCGCACGAGCACACCCUGUACACAAAGAAGAAUGGAUAUGGAGAUAUCAUGAUCGUAUGCCUAUAUGUGGAUGACAUGAUCUUCACCGGAAACAAUCCAGGUAUGUCUGAUGAUUUCAAGAAAGCUAUGACUAAAGAAUUUGAAAUGACAGAUAUCGGUGAGAUGUCAUACUUUCUUGGAGUCGAGGUGAAACAAAUGCAAGAUGGAAUUUUUGUCUCUCAAAAGAAGUAUGCGGAGCAGAUUUUGAACAAGUUCAAAAUGAAGGAUUGCAAGCCAGUAGUCACGCCAGCUGAUCCAGGGAUGAAGCUAAGUGUUGAUUCGACAAGGGAGUCGAUAAAUCCGACGUUGUUUAAAAGUCUCGUUGGAAGUUUAAGGUAUUUGACAAUCACACGACCAGAUAUUACAUAUGCAGUAGGAUUGGUGAGCAGAUUCAUGGAGAAGCCAAAGCAAGACCACUUAAUUGCCGCAAAAAGAAUUUUGAGAUAUAUCAAAGGUACGAUGAACCAUGGUUUAUUCUAUACCCACUCACAAGAUUCAAAAUUAGUUGGCUACUCAGAUAGCGAUUAUGGGGGAGACUUGGAUGAUCGGAAAAGCACUUCCGGAUAUGCAUUCCACAUCAGUUCCGCAGUUUUUUCAUGGUCGUCAAAGAAGCAACAAACAAUUGCUCUCUCAACAUGUGAAGCAGAGUAUAUGGCCGCAGCAACUUGUACAUGCCAAGCAAUGUGGUUGAAGAAUAUUUUGGGAGAAAUAGGUGUUUCAAAUGAAGGUCCAAUUACCAUCUACGUUGACAACAAAUCCGCUAUAUCACUUGCCAAGAAUCCGGUGUCGCACAGCCGAAGCAAGCACAUCGAUACGAAGUAUCAUUUUAUCCGAGAGCAAGUGAAAAACAAAAACGUGGAGUUGGUCCAUUGCAGGACAGAAGAUCAACUGGCAGAUAUUUUCACAAAGCCGUUGAAAGUGGAGACAUUCAACAAAUUCAAAGAGAAGCUCAGUAUGAAAGUUGGGUUUGAGGGGGAGUGUUAGAAAUCAAACCCACUCCAAGCAUAAUCUAGAAGCAUGAGACGUGGAGCAAUUUUGUGCCAUGCAAAGUGCUGAAAUUUUAGCCAUACAAAGUGCUCCAUUAUUGAGAUGUUUUGUGGCUGGAAAUUAAGUGGAUUAAUAGCCACAUUUGUUGUCACUUUAUCAGCCUAUAAAUAGAGGCUUGAACUUGUGUUGUAAUGAAGAAAAAUGAGAAGAAAAAAGAAAUAAGAGAAGCAACGUGAGUGAGAGUGAGAAGGUUAGCAAACCUUGAGUGAGUUAAAAUCUAGCAGCAGCUAGACUAUCUAGUCAUUGAGAAAAUAUUUGUAAUCUUCGUAUUGUAAUAUAUUGAGUGUGUAAUAAAAAGUAAAUUUUCGGCCCAUCACGUUUCCAACAUAGCCCCAUGCACUUGGCCCUCCAAAUGGGGCAUACCAAGCUAGUGCUUCGACUGUUGAAGACCGAUAAAGACCUGGUUCGCGUCAAAGGAAGGGAAGGGAUGACCCCUUUCCAUUGUGCAGCUGCAGUGGGGAACUCUAAAUCUUUUAUUCCACUUCCUUGAAACUUGCCCUGAAUGCGUUGAGGAUGUCACGGUUCGUAACGAGACUGCAUUACAUCUUGCUCUGAAAAACGACCACACCGACGCUUUUAAUCUCUUACAUGGAUGGCUUCGAAAAAACCGUCGUGGAGGAGGCAAUGGUUUGGAAAGAAAGGUUGUGAAUUGGAGAGAUGAUGAUGAUAACACUGUGUUGCACAUUGCAGCUACAAAGCAACAACAUCAGGUAUAUAUGCAAUAUAAUGAUAAGUUGCGUUCCUUUGAUCAUUUUAUUAAUGAUUAUUUAUAAUAUUCUACGCAGGCAGUACAACUGUUGUUGGAUUCCUUUUAUGGGUUAGAUGCAAACGCUAAGAAUUCGGAAGGCUUGACAGCUCGAGAAAUCAUAGAAAGGGUUGAAAGACAAGGGUUGAACAUGAGUGGCGCCGAAGACGAUGAUACCACCACCGCCAAGAUUGAGCGCAUUAAGAAAAGAACUAGUAGGUCUGAAAGAGCAUUAGUAAAGUUGAUUCGGGCAAGGAAUGGGUUGUCAGAGAACAUGCUCAACGCAACACUGGUGGUAGCGGCGCUGGUCAUAACAGCAAUCUACCAGUCAUCUUUAAGUCCACCAAGAGGUCUUUGGCAAGGUGAUAACACUAGUAUCCCCACCACCACCUCAAACCUUACUACUACUACUAAAUUUAAACUCUUUAACGACAAUUACAGUGAGUAUCGUUUUAAAUUUCUGUUGGGUGAAGAAACAAGGAAAACUGGUACUGCAGUCAUGAAUCCCAACUUGUUUUUAGGGUUUUGGUUUUUCAAUUUUAUAGCAUUUGGGCUUCCAGUUCUUCUAACCGUUUUGCUUUUAUCCAAUGUACCUAGUAUUCUUCUCAUCCCGCUUUAUUAUCUAUCCGUCUCCUACUUUAACUGCAUGACAAUAGUAUCUCCUUCCACGUUUUGGGCAAACCUCAACUUUGUUGUCAUGUGGACAGCCAUUCUUCUCCCGUUGCUCUUAGUUGUUAGAAGCGUAUGGUUAUCGAAGCAGCCAAAGUACAGGGAAAUCAGACAAUUACGCAGACUUUUCCGCAAGUAGAAUAAUGUUGGAAUCAUUCAACGGUUGCGAAUGUCAAUGUAGUUUAUAUGUUCUAUUAUGUUAUGUACUUUUUUCCAUUUUCUCUGGAUUAAUAUCUUUUCUCUUCGGUAAAAAAAUUAUGAAAUUGCUUUGGAUAAAUCUAAUAAAUAAGAUUAGUUUUCCCAACA